This is a long non-coding RNA of Anolis carolinensis (green anole), 6885 nucleotides long. RefSeq lists it as uncharacterized. The record is from RefSeq and is a predicted model, not a curated record. NCBI's taxonomy places the organism in Eukaryota, Metazoa, Chordata, Lepidosauria, Squamata, Anolidae. The transcript has 2 exons.
UUAACAUCAGGAAUUCCUUUCCAAUGUUUAGAUUGAAUCUCUUUUCCUGUAGUUUGAAUAAAUUGCUCUGGGGCAGGAGAUAGUAUUUUCAACAUGACUUUUUUUCAAAUGGGACUGAUAUUAAUGACAGUUCAUUUUGUAUCUGCAACAAUUGUUACAUUUGAUUGAAUUUUAACUAAUAGGGUUUUAUGAUACUAUAUUUGUUAUUGCUAGUGUGGUUGUUUAUGCACUUGUCUGUAUUUUGUAUGUUGCACUAUUGAGUGUUUCUGUGAGCCACCCCGAGUCCCUCCGGGGAGAUGGUGACAGGGUAUUAUUAUUAUUAUUAAACUAGCUGUGCCCGGCCACGUGUUGCUGUGGCUUAUGGGAAUCAUUUUUUGGCCAGGUAGAAUAGCAGUGAAUAGCCUUGCAGCCUCAAAGCCAGGCCAUUUUCUUCUUAUGGGAAUCCUUGUUUGGUGAACUGGAAUACAACAGAAUAGGCUUGCUGCUUGGGAGGCUGGGUACUUGCGUUCUAGGGGAAUGUUUUUUUAGGCUGCUAGAAUUGCAAUGAAUAACCUCACUACUUCAAAGCCUGGCUGCUUGUUAUCUAGCAGAAUCUUUGGUUGGUCAGCUUCAAUAGUACAAAGUAGUAUUGCUGCUUCAAAGCCUGGCUGCCUUCUACCAAGGUUAAUCCUUUGUUGGUCUGGUUAAAUUGCACUGAAUAGCCUUGCAGCUUCAAUGCCUGGCUGUGUUGUAGCUAGGGGAAUCCUUGUUUGGCGAGCUGGAGUAGCACCAUCAAUCAAAGAGCUACUUUGAAGCCUGGCUACUUCCUUUGUAGGGGAAUCAUUGUUUGGCCAGCUUGAAUUGCACUGAAUAGUCUUGCAGUUUAAAAGCCUGGCCACUUUCUACCUUGUGGAAUCCUUGGUUGCCCAGAUUGAAUAGCAAUUAAUAGUCUUGGUGCAGCAAGUAUGAAUGCUGCAAUUAGUCACCUUGAUUAGCAUUGAAUGGCCUUGCAGCUUCAAAGCCUGGAUAUUUCCAGCUGGGAGGUUGUUGGGAGGUGUUAGCUGGCCCUGAUUGUUUCCUGGCUGGAAUUUCCCUGUUUUCAGAGUGCUGUUCUUUGUUUACUGUCCUGAUUUUAGAGAUUAUAUUGUUCUGUAUUAUUCCACACUGAACUGGAUUAUAUGUCAGUGUGGACUCAAGAUAAGCCAGUUCAAAGCAGAUACUGUGGAUUAUGUGCCUUGGCAUUCUGGGUUAUACAGCUGUGUGGGAGGGACUUGAGUCUACACUGCCAUAUAAUCCAGUUCAAAUCAGAUAAUCUGUAUUUUAUAGGCAGUCUGGAUGAGGCCUAAGUGCACUCUGCCUGUGCCCUGGGCACCAUUUUGGCUGAGGAAAUUGCUAGGAUACAAAGUGGGUGAGGCCUAAAGGGGGCGGGGCCUACCACUCUGAGCCGUUUCUAAAGGGGGAAACAGCUCUUUCUCCUCUAAUUUGGGCUUUGUUUUUCUAGGUUUUUUUUGUUUGAAAGACAUAGACUGAAUGACUAUGUCUUCUGUGGCCAAAUUUGGUGUGAUUUGGUUCAGUGGUUUUGCUGUUUACUCCAUAGUAAAACAGCACAUUACAUUUAUAUAUAUAUACUAGCUGUGCCCGGCCACGCGUUGCUGUGGCAAAGUGGUGGUGGUAUUGGUUAAAAAUUGUUGUGUAAUUUUUAUUUGACGUUAUUUGCAUUUUUAAAUUACAGUAGAGUCUCACUUAUCCAACACUCGCUUAUCCAACGUUCUGGAUUAUCCAACAUAUAUUUGUAGUCAAUGUUUUCAAUAUAUCGUAAUAUUUUGGUGCUAAAUUCGUAAAUACAGUAAUUACUACAUAGCAUUACUGCGUAUUGAACUACCUUUUAUGUCAAAUUUGUUGUAUAACAUGAUGUUUUGGUGCUUAAUUUGUAAAAUCAUAACCUAAUUUGAUGUUUAAUAGGCUCUUCCUUAAUCUCUCCUUAUUAUCCAACAUAUUCGCUUAUCCAACGUUCUGCCGGCCCGUUUACGUUGGAUAAGCGAGACUCUACUGUAAUUUUAUUGUAAGUUAUAUUUUUAUUUUAUUAUAUUUUAUUAUUUUCUUGUAUUAUUUUUAGUUAUUUUCUGUUAUUAUAGUAUUUUAUUGUAUUAAUUUUUUAGUGUUUUGUAUUAUUUUUUAUUGGGUUGCUAGGAGACCAAGUUGGAGGAGCUUAGCCUUCUAACUGGCAGCAAUUGGAUAAAAGCAAUUAUUCCUCUCUCUCUAAUUAGGACUUUAUUUUUCUUUUCUUUUUGUUGUAUCAACCUAGAGGCGUGGAUGAUGGGUUGUGUCGUCAAAUUUCGAGGUUGGGGGGCCUGUAGUUUUGUUGUUUUGUGAGUUGCCGUGAUGCCAUCACUCUUUUAUAUAUAUAUAGAGAGAGAGAGAGAGAGAGAGGGAGAGAGAGAGGGAGAGAGAGAGAGAUGUUGCUAUCAUAUCAUAACCUUCUUAACCUUCUCUUUUUCAGGCUAAACAUACAAUUUUAGAUAACUAUAAAUCCAGAAAACUGAUAAAGGAAUACAUAAUUUAAUUAAAAAUUUGAAAAUUAUUCAGCUGCAACUUGCUUAUGCUAUGAAUUAUGAAGUGUCAACAAGUGACUGAGCACACAAUAGCAUACUUACAGGACUUCCAUCAGGACCAGGAGGACCUCUGUUUCCAAAUUCACCUCGUAAGCCCUGGUUAAAACAGCAACACUUUAAUUAGAAAUCACAGGAUAUCCUUAAUAUUUUGUAUUGAGAGAUAGCUGGACAAAACUAGCUAUUUGAACUUUUUAUAAAUGGUGAAUGCUUAGGACUACUGACUGGCUUUUCUUUUCUGACAGCUUGGUGCGCAUACAUAUAUACAAGUGAUCUUAUAUGUGGAAGGAGCCAUAUAACACAACAAUAUAAUGUUCAUGUUGUUCUGCACAAAAUGCUUUACAGGGGAGUCAGUUCACGGAUUGAUUUGCGUCUUUCCAAAUGUACACUCAAAAGAACAAUCAAGUGACCAAUCUGUGCAUAUCAACUACACACUAAUGUAUAUUAGCAGAACACAACAGAACAAAUAUCAACACAUAUGACUCCCAAGCAAUCUUCCGCCACUAGGCAAGGAACUGAAUGUCUGAGGCCGCUUCCACACAGCUGUAUAAAAUCCUCAUUAAACUGGAUUAUAUGGCAGUGUGGACUUAGAUAACCCAGUUCAAAGCAGAUAUUGUGGGUUAUUUGACUUGAUAUUCUGGGUUAUAUGGCUGUGUGAAAGGGUCCUGAAUGUGCCCAUACAAGGUCAGAAGCUGUAUUAGUAAAAUAUAAAAGAAUGGCAUAUGUUAGAAGAUGUUACUACUGCAGCAUUCAUUUCCUGAGUUUAGAUUAGAAGUAUUUAUUUCCAGACACAGCAAAAUUAAAGCAUUUUAUUAAAGAAGUUGUUAAGGCAAUCCCCCAAAAUCAAAACAUCAGUAAAACUGUCUACAUUAGGUAGAGAUCUGUACUGUUGGUGGACUGCAAUCUCAAGUAGUUUGUGGUAUGGAAAAUUGUUAGCAGCAAUGUGGGGGACAUGCCCUUAUCAGCAGUUGAUGGUGGUAAUGUAGGAAGGAGCACUAUGGCUCCUUUUACAUUGCCAUAUAAAAUCCAGAUUAUCUGCUUUGAACUGGAGUAUAUAGCAGUGUAGUUUUAUAUAAUCCAGUUCAAAGCAGAUCAUGUGGAUUAUCUGUUUUGAUAAUCUGGAUUCCAUGGCAGUGUAGAAGGGACCUAUGAAAGGUAUUGGGAUGAACUGUGGCUCUUAAAGAAGCCGAUCAUUAACUAAUGUGAGCAGAGGUCAAUAAAGUGUUUGAAGUAACAGGCACACCUACCAUCAAAGCAAUAAUAUGCCAUCUCUCAUGUCAGUUGGACAUUCUUCAAGACACAAAUCUGUAUUUGUAGGACUGUGAUUUUCAACUUUGCUUCUCUAGAUGUUUCAGACUCCAACUUGAGGGAGUUGGGAGUCCAAAACAGAUGAAGGACCAAAACGGAGAACUAGUGUAUUGGGUGAACCUAUCAUCUGAUACAUCAAGGCAUUAGGCUGGUUCUAAAAUGUUUUAUAGAGCAAACUUUAAAUUCUGAACUUUUCAGAAAAUUGUAAUUCUACAAAACAUAGGAACAGUUGCUUCCAAUGCCAUAUGAUCAUUCCCAUUUUGUAACAUGGAUUUUUACUAGCUGUUUUCAAUAUGUUAUGGUAGGUGGUAUGUAUAGUCUAUUGCUGAAAAGGAAAAAAUCCCACUGGAUAUAAUCAAGCUCCUGGGAUCAAAAAUUAUUUUUUAAGAUCACAGUCUAGAAUUCUCCUAAAAGAUUUAUUUCCCUUGCCCCUGGCUUAAAUAUUUCUCUUUACAUUUUAGGUAGCACUGUAACUAUUUAGGUGGUUCAAAGAUUUUUGGCACUAAAUAAUACCAUUUGCUGUGCUACUGUAAAACCUUUCAAAGCGGAAGUCUAUUAAUAUUUUACUAGGAACUGUGAUUGAUUGUUCUUGCCAUUAGUGCAAGUUAUACUGGAAAAUUGUUACUAAAAUUUAUGAAGUAUCCCACAUCAUACUGACUUUUAGCUGCAAGAAAGUCUUCAUAGAAUUUGUUCCACUGUCCAACUAUAAAGUUUGUAAAAUUCUGCAUAUUGUAUAUAACACAAUUGGCAGUAACUUUAAAAUAUGGCAACUCCUGCCAGGUUUUGUGUAAUAUACAUAAUGGGGAAAAUAAAUUCAGUACAUAUGUUUUGGAUAACAGAAUAAUUUAUUUAAACAUAGUGUACAUUUAGCAUUUUGUCAUUUGCUUUAAAACUAGACACUAUAAUUAUUCUUAAUGGUAAAGCUAUCCAAACUAAUAUUUUGUUCCAUUUCAUUUAUACCAAAAUAAUUUUAAGUAUUGCCAUUGCUAAAAGUAGCCAUUUUUCUCAAAGAAGCUGUAUAUACAUUGUGAUUAUCUAUGAAGUAGGAUUAAAGGAUUAAGUAAUACAAAGUCAAGAUCAUUUUCAAAGGUGUACAUGCCUAAUUCAUUGGGUGGGGGAAAUAAUCUCAAAAUACUCAAUAAAAUGAAGCUAUCAUAUUUCAAAUACCAAGUUCUUCUUCAGGGGAAACCUUUCUUACAGAAUUUUAUGACAGUGUGGCAGUUUCCAUUAAAAUGUUCUUGUGUUAUUCUGUUGCAGCAAAAAUAGUUCUGUGGUGCUUUAAAGACUAGCAAAUUUAUUACUGCAUGUUUUACAGCUCACUUCAACAGAAGUAUGAAGCAUUAUUACACAUACAUGUAUAUGUAAAGUAAUAAAAAUAAAUAUGUGCAUCACCAUAUGUGUUUUUUCCCCCAUGUCAAGAGUGACUUGAGAAACUGCAAGUUGCUUCUGGUGUGAGAGAAUUGGCCAUCUGCAAGGACAUUGCCCAGGGAAUGCCCGGAUGUUUUGAUGUUUUAACCAUCCUUGUGAGAGGCUUCUCCCAUGUCCCCAUAUGGAGCUUGAGCUGAUAGAGGGAGCUCAUCCACGUUCUCCCCGGGUUGGAUCCGAACCAGCAACCUUCAGCCUCUGGAGCAGCAGAAAACAAACUCACUUCAUCUUCAUGACAUUUCUUCUGACACCAUGCUACCUUUCAGUCUUCUUUUCUUCAAGCUGAACAUACUCACUCCCCUAAGCGGUUCCUGAGCUGGGUUCCAGACCUUUGGUCAUCUUGCUUGCCUUCUCUACAUACGUUCCAGUUCAUCAACAUCCCUCUUCAACUGUUGUAUACAGAACUGGACACAGUAUUCCAAGUGAAGUCUACCCAAAGCAAAGUAGAGCAACACUAAAACUUUGCUUGAUAUGGAUGCUAUAUGUUUUUUGGCUGUUGACAAAUUUACUCAUGUUCAAUAUGUGGAGACUCCUAGACCCUUAUUACAUAUACUGUUUUCAACACAGGCAUCAUUUUUCCUGGCUAGUGCCUUAAGACAACAUGAGGCACUACUCUGUAAACAUUUAAGACCUGAAUAAAAGUUUUACAUCAGAAAUGGACUAGACAAAUUUCAACAGUUUCAUAGUGUGAUGACUCAUGGGCCAUGUAGUCCCGUUCCUAGCGCUGUUGUGACAGAUGAAGAGGAAAACUUAGGUUUCCCACCGUUUCAGCCAGAAUUGGAGCUUUCUCAGCCAGAAAUGGAGCCCUUGCACCUGCAGGAGAUUUGUCUUCCAGAAGUUUGUCAAACAAGCCCUGAGCCGAAAUCUCCCCCAUUUUCUCGCCAUGAUUAUUGUAAACAACAGAGGGGCGCUCAGGAGGCGUCUCGCAGGAGCGCUAGGAUCGCUGCAAAGCAUUCAGCUGAUUAAGCCUGCUUCCCAUGGGAAACUUUAAGGAGUCAUGCAUCUGGACUCAGAGAAUAGCUUUCGUUUCUGGUUCCCCAGAGAACUGCUCUUUGGCGGGAAAACGAGACCCUACUUAGGUGUUUUGCCCACGAAGGAAUCUUGCGGAGUCAAUUCGUCAGCUUCGGGAGUAGGUUGUGUGUGGACUACGCUACUCCCGCAUCCAAGUCCUUUGCUCUCGUUUCCAGCCCUGCCUUGCUUCCCAGGACCCUGCCUUGCUUCACGGACCUUGCCUUGCUUCCCGGACCUCGCCACGUAAUUACCACGGAUCCUGUUUUUGCUCCUUGUUCUUGUUGCCUUGAAUUAAGCCUUGUAUCCAAGAAUCAAGUUAUUUCCUUGCCUUGCCUAAGUUUCAUGGACUAAAGGACCUUGUCUUCACCCCUCACUUUGCUUGGCAAAGUGAGUGUUUCGGUUACUGGAUUAUAACUUUGGACCUUAAUAUUUCAUAUUGGACAUUGUUUUCCUGGACUAUAAUUGACCUUUCCCGAAAGGUCUUCUUCUGAACUUUAUUCUGCACUUAUUUUUAUUGACUUUACAUAUUUCCUUAAUAAAGAUAUUAGAUAGA